CCUGAAUGUCACACGACCUAGAUGAAAUUAUUCUAGGCACAUGACCAGCAGCCCUGGAACACAAGGGACACGCACAUGCUCCCACACCCACACACACAUGCACCCUCACACACGCAUAUACCCUCAUAUAUGCUUGCACACCCUCACACAUGCAUACACCCUCACACACAUGCACCCACACAUGCACCCUCACACACGCAUAUACACUCAGACAUGCUCGCACACCCUCACACAUGCUCGCACACCCUCACACAUGCAUGCACCCUCACACACGCAUAUGCCCUCACAUAUGCUUGCACACCCACACACGCAUACACCCUCAAGGCUCGCACACCCUCACAUGCACCCUCACACAUGCUCGCACACCCUCACACAUGCAUGCAUCCUCACACACGCGCACACCCUCACACACAUGCACACACAGCCCUUGCACACCCCCCCAAAGGAUGCACACACACAUCCCUGUGCACACGUGCACUCAUAGCUGCUGCUCUCGAUGGGAUAACUGAGGGCUACAUAUAAUCACA
Molecule: long non-coding RNA, 527 nt
Filed under: Homo sapiens (human)
Lineage: Eukaryota; Metazoa; Chordata; Mammalia; Primates; Hominidae
Description: non-protein coding lnc-ADNP2-5:1
Source: RNAcentral